This is a long non-coding RNA of Lontra canadensis (Northern American river otter), 473 nucleotides long. RefSeq lists it as uncharacterized. NCBI's taxonomy places the organism in Eukaryota, Metazoa, Chordata, Mammalia, Carnivora, Mustelidae. The record is from RefSeq and is a predicted model, not a curated record. The transcript is spliced from 2 exons.
CGCCGGAGCGCUCGCCUCACGGAGGAGCUCGGGAAUUUUGAAAGACGUUCUGUGGGAGCAGAUGUGAAGACGUGAUCCAGUCUGCUCUCUGCGUCCAGGAAACAGUGCCUGACUAUGAACUAGAUCUUGAAGGAUGAGCACAUGUCUUGUCAACUUAAGAGGAAAACAGUUUCUGGCAGAAAUAAGAGCAUCUGUACAUCAGCUAAGGAUGCGCCCCAUGGUCCCCUCGUUACCAGUCUACUCACAGACUGGAUUUGGAUUCAUUUUUUGAGACAUUGCCUUCCUCAUGUCACUCUCCAACUCCAAAAUUUAUAUUAACUUACUGUCCGAGAGAUAAAGGUCAAAUUUCUUCAACCUGACCCUCAAACUUCUACAUUUUUAUUUGACAAUGAAAUUACUUGUAAUUAAAACUGGUCACCAAAGACUCUUCCUACCCAUCAAAAUGUAAUAAAUGAGAAGUGACUUAAGAGUAA